This 1497-nucleotide long non-coding RNA is filed under the name Heterocephalus glaber (naked mole-rat). Its description in RNAcentral is "lncRNA (ENSHGLG00000028928.2)". Lineage: Eukaryota; Metazoa; Chordata; Mammalia; Rodentia; Bathyergidae. The record is from RNAcentral.
CUUACAUCUUGGAACUCUCUAGUGACUUCAAAUUACUCAAUGAGAAGACACAAUGGAGUCGCUAGGGAAAUUUUACCCUCCAAUGCCUGGGCUUUGCACUUACAUGAACCGUUUUUAUGCUAUUUUAUAACAGAAUCAUUUGUCUCCUUACCCUUUUUGGGGGCGGGCACCACCAGGCUCCUAUUGGGCAGUGUGAUUUUCCCCUAGCACCACUGCAUUUUUUCAUUUCUUUCUAGUAUCAUUGUGGCCUUAGGCUUUUUGUAAACCCAGCUGGUUCCAAUUAAGUAUAAUCACUGUUUUCUUUCUGAUGAUCUAAAAGUAGAACUAAACUAGGGUCACUGCCCUCAAGAGACUUAAAUUCUGUUUGGAAAAACAAGAUCCAACAUACAUGAAAAACACAGUGAACAAAAGGAUGUGGCGAGGUGUGUGAGACUUCUGACGCAGACCUGAUGUGGGUGGAUGUGGGUUACGCCUUUCCUUGCACACAGUUCUUUGAAUGCAGUAGGCUACGAAAUUUGUUCUCGUUGCAGUGCAGACCUGAAUCUGGGCCACUGAUGGAUUCAAUACCCACAGGAUAUCUGUUCCAGACAAGCUGCCAAAGGACAAACGGCUUCUUCUCCACAUCGUCCACAGGACAGCUGGCUGCUGCCUGAUGAUUCACUAGGAGGCCUGGCCCCUUGACAGAGCAAAUUCCAGUGAGGACUGCAAAUGGCUUCCAGUGUCUGUUUGCCCAAGGCCUCCUGGGAACUGAGGGCCUGGCAUGAGCACAGCGGGGAACUGCAAACCAGGCCUCAGCUCGAACACGACUCCACCUUGCACCAUCCUUCCGGGAGCGGAAGGGACCUUUGGGGACCCUCGGAGAGUUCGCUGCUGCGCUGUAGCCCAGACUGACUGAGCCCAGAUCAUCUUAGAAUAUCAGAUGAGUGGGAGAGAAGGACAUCGAGGUGGUGAUGGGAGGUUCUUACUAUGUAGUUCAGGCUGGCCUGGAAUUCAUGGAGAUCCUCCUGCCUCAGCCUCCUGAGUGCUAGGAUUACAGGCAUUUUAUCCUGUCUGCUGUCUCUCACUCAUCACUUCCCUGAGGAAAGUUCAAAUUCAAAACAAAACAGCCGUUUUUGCAAAGCCAGCCGUUUUGCUCCACGGACCUGGGAAAGAUUUGAUGUAAAACCAGUUCUCAGGAAGCUGCACAUGAUUCACAGAUCUUAAUGCUGCCGGAGGCACAGAGUGCAAAGGAGAGAGCGGGGAAGAGAGGAAUGUAGCUGUCUCACCUUGGAAAGGGGGUAAACUGAGGCAAGGCUCAGCCGGAAAGUGAGUGAUAGGAAUCAACAGGAGGCACCACCGCUGCCAUUUCAUCUGGUUCAGUGUUCAUCCAGUGACUCUCCUCUCCGAGCCUUCUGCAGACACAGACAGGCAUUCAGAAACCAGCCUGCUGGAGACAUUACAGACUCGGGCAGCAGAGUGGGGUGAUGGGACACAGGAAGGUCGACAUUCAGAGAUGGG